Long non-coding RNA from Phyllopteryx taeniolatus (common seadragon), 2314 nucleotides. RefSeq lists it as uncharacterized. The transcript is spliced from 3 exons. The record is from RefSeq and is a predicted model, not a curated record. Lineage: Eukaryota; Metazoa; Chordata; Actinopteri; Syngnathiformes; Syngnathidae.
GUCGGCGUUGAAGAGCCAUAGCACCUAAUGAGAUCGCAUAUCAAAAAGAGACCGCGAGGACAGCAAAUGAGGUCAAGAAGAUGAAUGACAUGCUAACUUCUUAUAAUUUGACAUGUAAGAUUGCCGAAAGUGAGAAAGAGACAGAAUGAGACUUCAACGUGAGGUUGUUGUCCCCUCAGCGGUCCUCACAGUGAGCCAGACGUUUCAUUUUUUUGGGCCAUAAUUUUUACUGUGGAUGCAACCCACCCAUUUUUUUAUCCGGCGACUGAGUGUUGAGGCACUAGCUGGGAAUCGAACCUGCAACAUCUGCACAUUCAAAUGACAUCCAAGACAGUGGGUUCUCGGUGUACCACAGAGUUCUCUUCCUAUGGCAGUGAUGAAAUUUGAAAGUAAAGUGGUGCCUUGAGAUACAAGCGUAAUUCACUCUUUGCGGCUAACUCAAAACACUCCCCCAAAUCAUCUUUCCUCAUUGAAAUAAAUGGAAAUGCCAUUACUCCGAUUCGCUUUUUACAAGGAAAAUAUAAAACCUUAAAACUACCAUAUACAGUAGUCAUAAAAUAAUUAAAUAGAAUGUAAAUAAUUGAGUUUUUGCAUUGUGAUUAAUUCAUUGGCACUUGCGACUUGGCCACCGGGGGGCAGUAUAAUACAGUCACGCAAGACACAAUUGAAGAAGAGUUGACGUGACUCAGCUUAAGUACUAUUAGUUGUCUCUUUGCAGAGGAUAAAGAAGACGUGCAUGUUUCUCCAAAGUUUGUGUUCAAAUAUCCAUCCAAGAGUUUUCACUCCCUGAUAUUAGUUGUAAAUAGCUCAUUAAUGGUGUUUCCCAUUGUGUUUUAGCAUUAAGCUAGUAGACUUUAAGGCAAAGUUAUGCGGUUGUUUUGAAUAUGUAAGGUCUAAUUCUCUUUGUUUAAUGUUUAGUUCAACAGGAGGGGCCAAUUAACAGCUUGAAGACCUAUUUUGCUUUCUUUUUAAGGAAUAUUUCACUAGCGGGAAAACUGCUGCUUGUUGUGGAGUGAGUUAAGUUGUGUUCACUGCCACCACACAGCGCUCGUAUGGCACGUUUUUGCUCGCAAGAAAAAGAUCAAAAUCGGCCAAAUGAUGGCCUCCUAUCUCGAAAAACUCUCAAGUUGGGUCAUUAAUAUUCGAAGACACCUCUGUACAACUAAAAUCCCUGCAGUGGGCAGACAAUUUAUCCCACUGGUUUUCACUGUUGUUGGAGUGAAUCAGAGUGUGCAGGUGUAUGUAAUGACGAGGCAGCGAGUAUAUUUCUGCAAGGAAAUAAAGAAAAAGACAAAAAAAUGUUUUCCUGUUAUUAUCCUUUCCAUCUAAUCCCCCUCCAUGUGGGGCCCUCCUCUCCCACUUUUAAAGUGAGCCGUCCCCUUCAAGAGGCGUGCUUCCAUCUUUUAAAACAUCAGGGGGUGGUCAUGUGUUGAGAUCCUCAAAUCUCAGUUAUUCAUGAAAUGAUUCAGAAUACAAUUUUUUACCCUUAACUGCUUUAUUCUCCCAAAGCCGGACCGAUGCAUGACAUUUAAAAGAUAAGUAAGGCCAUUUGGAGUUAGCUAAUUCCGUCUUAUGUUCCUGAAGCGGCUCUCUACACCACAUAAAAACGCUUAUGAAAUAUUAAAAGCCUCUACAUUAGACAGCCAAUGACUGUGUGCAAACUAGCUGUGAGUAAGCGGCGGCGGGCCCCUGGUGCGAGGGGAGGAAAAGACGGAUUCGGCUUUUGUUGGAUUUACCUGUGAUCACAUCCCUGCAGAGCACUCGCCAGAACCCCGUCCUGCCCACCCCUCUGCACCCUCCCCCCCCCCCCCCCCUUCCCCAGUCUGUGGCUCUGCCCUCUCCACUAGGUGCAGCACUUCAGUGUAAUUGGCUAUGGCAGCCCCAUACCUGGCAGCAGUGCGGGCGACGGCGAGGUUCAUUGGAGCAUCGUCGUGUUGUCCUGCAGCGGGGGGACAGGACCGGAGCAGGGGGAUCGCGAUGGCUGCUCUGGCCACACAAGGAGCGCACUUCAAGCCGCAGCGGCCCUUUGGCCUGAGCGCCGCGGCCCCGCCAACCGCCCCUCACGUCUACCUUCCUGCACCGGGGAGAAGGAGAGCUGCUGCUCUGCAAAAGCCAAAGGAUGUGGGAAUAAGGAGGAGAUGCAUCACAUAAACAACGGCUGACAUCCUGAUGAGGAUAACAACGACGAUGACGAUAAUUACCUUCAGCAAUUAGAAAGCCAAAAUGGCCCCGAAUGACGACGCGGUGCGAGAUGAGCAUCAAGGCUCCCUGGAGGACACACGGCCCCUCCUUGCUUCCUCUUCCCUCCCCUUGU